This 525-nucleotide long non-coding RNA is filed under the name Ananas comosus (pineapple). Its description in RNAcentral is "long non-coding RNA (ACOM_LNC018523)". Lineage: Eukaryota; Viridiplantae; Streptophyta; Magnoliopsida; Poales; Bromeliaceae. The record is from RNAcentral.
UAUAUAUAUAUAUAUGAGUGAGGCUACUAUACUAUCGGAAGUACGGAGCAUUCCGUGCUUCCAGCUCGUUUUCAAUGUUGUGACUUUCGAAUCGUCGAUCGGCUCCGUUAAACUUGAUUUAGAGUAUUUGAAGUACCUAAAAAAUAAAUUUUAUGAUUUUACGAUAUCAUUUGCCUAGUGAACGAAGGGGCUCAAAAUCAACGGCUGAAAAUAAAAAUCUUACAAAAUGUAAUAAUAUGACAUUAAAAUUUUAAAUCAAAGAUAUUGAUCUUGUUUUAUAUAGUAUAAAGAAUUUUCUAUCAAAAUUUCACGUGAUUUGGAUAUUUCUACACCGUUAAACUUGCAAACGACUCACUACGGCCAUUGAAAUUUAUUGAUUUUGAGCCCAUUCGAUCACUAGGCAAAUAAUAUCGAAACAUCAUAAAAUUUAUUUUCUAGGUACUCCAAAUACUCUAGAUCAAGUUUAGUGGAGCCGAUCGACGAUUCGAAAGUCGCAACAUCGAAAACGAGCUGGAAAGCACGGAA